Long non-coding RNA from Mastomys coucha (southern multimammate mouse), 529 nucleotides. RefSeq lists it as uncharacterized. The transcript has 2 exons. NCBI's taxonomy places the organism in Eukaryota, Metazoa, Chordata, Mammalia, Rodentia, Muridae. The record is from RefSeq and is a predicted model, not a curated record.
UCAGAGGAGACUUGGGGGAAAAAAGGAAGGAUCCUAUUACAGCUCCUGGGUAGGAAUGCAAGGACUGUGGACCUCUUCAUAGGGGAUCCACCUAUCAGGUUAUCACUGUUGCUGCCAGGCCCUGAGGAGAAGGCUCAGUGGUUAAGAGUACUGGGUCCCCUUUUUGAGGGCUCAGGUCUGAUUCCUAACACCCACAUAACUGUUGUGAUCGCCGUGUAGCUCCAGAAAGGCCAUACCAGGCCAAACAUUUCUACGUGAGGUUUAUUGAGAGAGAAAACGGCAAGGUGACAGCAGAAAGAGAAGGGAAGGAAGAGAGAGAUCAGAGGGACCUUCCUUUUAUAUAUGGAUAGUGACAUAGCCACAGGAGGACAACAUAGCUGGGAGCCUACAGUGGGUUAACUCUCAUUACCUUCUCUGGCCAAGAGCUGAACUUGGGAAAAGCAUCCAGAUGACAAAUUUUACAGGUUCUCUUGGGAAAUCUUGUAUAUUGUCUUCCUACUCAAAAGAAUAUUAAGCUUGACACUCGAGA